GACGAACGCUGGCGGCGUGCUUAACACAUGCAAGUCGAGCGAUGAAGCACCUUCGGGUGUGGAUUAGCGGCGAACGGGUGAGGAACGCGUGAGGAAUCUGCCUUCCACUCUGGGAUAACUCCGGGAAACCGGGGCUAAUACCGGAUAUUUUCAACUGGCGGCAUCGCCGGUUGAAGAAAGUUUUUCGGUGGAAGAUGACCUCGCGGCCUAUCAGCUGGUUGGUGAGGUAAAGGCGCACCAAGGCGACGACGGGUAGCCGGUCUGAGAGGGUGACCGGCCACACUGGGACUGAUACACGGCCCAGACUCCUACGGGAGGCAGCAGUGGGGAAUACUGGGCAAUGGAGGAAACUCUGACCCAGCGACGCCGCGUGAGGGAUGAAGGCCUUCGGGUUGUAAACCUCUUUCAGCAGGGAAUAAGCGAAAGUGAAGGUACCUGCAGAAGAAGCACCGGCUAACUAUGUGCCAGCCGCCGCGGUAA
Molecule: ribosomal RNA, 480 nt
Filed under: uncultured bacterium
Lineage: Bacteria
Description: partial 16S ribosomal RNA
Rfam family: Bacterial small subunit ribosomal RNA
Source: RNAcentral